UUGCAGGUAUGUCGCCUCAUGGGAAGCUCAAAUGACACAGCUGAUGAGGAUUUCAAACUCACCAUGCAACCCAAGGAACAGAACACAAGACACCAGCACUGUGUGAUCUGAGACCAAGGUGAGUCUGGACAGCACCAGAGUGAUCAUGAUAAAGGUUUGGGAAUUAAAGUGCGCCUCCCAAACUCGUUCAUUUCCACAGUGGCAGAAACUGGUCUCUGAGCAGGUAUGAAGAUCACCCUGGCACCACAACGCAGAAAAACAUCUCAGGGUUCAGCACACCCUGGGGGCGAAUGUGGCAGCAACAAGGGAAACACACCUUCCCAGGUAUGAACGGGGACCAAAAGGACAUGUUCAGUAAAAUUGUUGCUGUUUUCCUUGUUUGGAGUCAAUCAGUAGUGAUAACACGCAUUCUUCUCAGGGGAACUUUUAAUUUUUCCAAACAGACUUCCCCAGGUUGCCUCGUGUAUUCCUGACUCACAGCUUAAACUCCCCAUCAGCUCCACUGCACCCUUUGCCAGCAAGCAAAUUUCCAGCAGCCUGGUUUGUUGCUGUUUGCUCUAAGAACAUAAACUUUUUAUUAAGGGAAAAAAAAAAAAAAGGAAGGAAAAAAACAUUUUUGUUGUUUAGCCACUUGAACGUGAACACUGAAAAUAUUAUUUGUAUGUGACAAAGGAAAUAUUUGCCUUAAAUUAUCUCAUCUUACUAAUUGGUUACAAUGGAGCGACUUGUAUGUAUGCAGUAAAAAAGCACCCAGUCCCUCUGCUUGAAUUAGGGCUUCACAAUUUUAGUAUAAACACUCCCAAGGGAGAAAACAAAGAAAAGUUGCCAGGCGUUUAGGGCUGCCUGUGCCAUGGAGUCAUCAUAGACUCCACAAGGACAUCACUUGGGUGUCUAAAAAGAAUAGGUCCUGAAAAAUUUAGAAGCUUCUGUAGAAGGUGAAACUUUAGAGAAUAUUAAGAGUUUUUAAAUGAUAUAAAAGUGAAAAAAAAAAAAAACACCUGGGAAAUAUUUUUUCAAGUCAUUACAUAAAAGAUAUAGCUAAUUCCUGUUGUUCAAUGUCAACAUCAUUGAGGGCAUGCUAAUGUGAAAAGUGCUAUUUAUCGAUGAAAAGUAAAAGUAUAAAUCCAGUCUGAAUUUAAAUCAGAAGAGGAAAAUGAUUAAUAUAAAGGAUUACAGUGCUACAGUGUAAUUCCCUUGAGAUGCAAAAACAUUUCAUGUUUAAAAGUGACUUGAAUAUAGUAAUCUUCAAAUAUUCAUGGCUGAAAAAGUUUCCUAAAUGCAGCCUCCAAAAUAGGUGUCACGAGACAGCGAUUAUGCCCCGAGCUCAUUUCAAAACCAUGGCAAGUAAUGUUUUUAAUAAACAUGGUGUGUUAUUGACAGAAAUGGAAGAGGGGGAAAAAAAUCCUCUGGGUCUGCAUGUCAAGAAUGGAGAAAAAGAGGGAGGAAAAGUUAAAGCUGGAAGAGUGGAAAAGCUGGCUGGGAGGAACAAGCCCGUUUGCUGCUCAGCGCCCUGCCCAUGCAGGCUGAGUGGUUGUGACCUGCUCCUCCACGACGUGGGCAGCUGUGCUCCCUGCUGCUGAAGGAGGUUGGGAACCUGCUUCGAUCUCUGUUCUUCUGCAGCCCCGUUCCUGACACUGUGCCAAGGUGGGAACGCCUCUGAGUUGAGGCUGUGGGACUGCACUCAUCCUGCCAAGUGCCUGGCUGGCUUGUCCCGUGGCAAGAGGGAAGUCUCCAUCGGGCCGAAGUGGCAUCUGUCAGGAUUCCCACUCUGGAAAAGAAGAUCAGAGCAAACGGGGACUGAGGAGAAUAAAAGCUGACCCAAACCUUUGACCCAAACUUAACAUAAAGCCAAAUGAAACCUUAGAGAAAUGCCUCAGACCAGCUGUGACUGAAAGGCACCCAGGCUGUUGCUUGCUCCUUGUUCCCAAAAUGUGCCAGGCAAUUUCCAGGUGGAAGAUAAUAGCUGAAGAGGCACAGGAGAGAGCAGGAGGGGAACUUGAGGAGAUGAAUAUCAGUGGAAUUAUUUCCCGAAUACAGGGAGAGGCUGCAUGACGAGAGGAGCAGAAGUUGUAAUGUCCAUUUCGCUUACACAACAAGACUCAAGCUUUUGAACUUCCUGCAAGGCUGGUUACACCAAAUUGAGAUUGAUGACAAAGCACAUUUUGAAGUUAUUAAAGGUAAGUGGAUUCCUAUGGUGUUGAACUUUCUAGGAUAUCAAGCUUCAGUAGGUGACGUUCUCUGGGACUUCUGACAUUUACUGACCACUUUUUCCAUCUAUACCCAAGAGGCUGACCCAUGACCAGUGCUCCAAACCACCAAGCCUCCCAUGGUGUUCUUCAUCCUGUCAACUCUCCGUGGUGACAUCCUGGCAGGAUGAAGCAGUCUAUGGGAGAAGCAGUCUACGGGAGUAGACCCCUGCUCACGGAGGAAUGUUCAACCAGAGCAUUGCCACCAGGACAAAUCUGCUGAGGACUACCAAGAGACACGUGGAAAAUCAAGUGUAAAUGGCCAGUGAUGCAAGGGAGACAGGCACCCUGUUAAUAAACCAGUCUGCAGGUGCUUGUCCCAAAUAGCCAAAAAAAUCAUCAUCCUUUUGCAAAUACCACAAAAGUGACUUUUGUCCUUUAAAUCUGGUUUAUAACCCUUUGAGAUGUCACUGAGACUAUAGUCAAGAUCUCUAACGGGACAAAAUUAUUAGCAAAUAUAAAUUUAAUUCAGGGACUUGGGAAUUAAAAAUGAAAUGGAAAAAACAACAUUGACAGGCAAACAAGAAGAAAUAUACUGGAAUUAGCAGAGUCCUCUUCACAUAUGCACAUGUUCUGUCUAUCUUACUUGCAGGCAAUCACCCUUGGUCAAAAUGCUGCAGAUGCUAAAAAAAAAAAAAAAAAAAAAAAAAAAAAAGAUAUUCCUCAUUUUGUAACUUUUAGCAAUGUUUAUUUUAGGUUAGCAAAAUCGUCUUCUGUCUUAAGAUGUUUAAUGAUUAUUUGAAAGCAACUUGAUGAAUAGAAAAGAGUGUACUCCCACUUGGGGCAAAUGUAUUUUUGGCCUGAUUCAUAAUAAUUAAUCUCUGUCUAAGUGGAAUGCAUUAAUUUCUCCUACUGGUAGGGGCUUUACUUCUGUUUCUUUUCCUAGGCUGGAUGGUUCUGCUCCAGAGGCACAUUUCCUGAUUAAAGUGGACCGCGACCGGGUACUCAGGUUAUGUCACUAUUAUCUAAACGAUCUUUUAAAGAACACAGAGUACUUGUUCUUGCAGAUAUCUUGCGCUCCGCAUUUAAUCACGGACCUUUGUAGCUUGUUAUUUCGAGAAUUCAGAUUACUGCAAAUUAAAAGUCUCUCCGUC
Molecule: long non-coding RNA, 3340 nt
Organism: Oxyura jamaicensis (ruddy duck)
Lineage: Eukaryota; Metazoa; Chordata; Aves; Anseriformes; Anatidae
Exons: 9
Source: RefSeq, a predicted model, not a curated record